Gopherus evgoodei (Goodes thornscrub tortoise) is the source of this 2011-nucleotide non-coding RNA. The record is from the annotation of a RefSeq genome assembly. Lineage: Eukaryota; Metazoa; Chordata; Testudines; Testudinidae.
AUGCUGGAGGGUGAAGAAGGAGACUUUAUGGCUGUCCUGGAACUGGGGAUAGAACCCAGGAGUCCUGACUCCUGCCCAGCCCAGAUGGGGAACCCCACACCCCCCUUCGCCUUCCCCCUGGUUUCCUGCUGCACCAAGACUGGCAAUGCUCCCCCGGACACAAGCUUGGCCUGCCUAGUAACGGGCUAUUCCCCAUCACCAGUGGAGAUCAAGUGGAAUUCGGGCAAAGUGACCCAGGAGGUCACAACUUUCCCAGAGGUGACGGUGAGCAACGGGCGCUUCACCCAGAGCAGCCUGCUGAUCAUCCCUGCCAGGCCCCGGCAGGGCGACACCUACCAGUGCGAUGUGACACAUCAAGGGACAGCAACGAUCGAGUCGAAGAAGUUCCCUCAGGAGUGGUGUGGUUUGACAGCACCACCUGAGGUUCACCUGCUGGUGCCCACCUGCGAGGAGAGCUCCACGGAGAGCCAGCUGGAGCUGGUUUGCCUCCUCCUGAGCUUCAAACCCAACAAAGCCAACGUGAAAUGGCUGGUGAAUGGAAAGGAGAGCAGCCCCCCCACCCCGGCCUUUUCCUCUGCAAUGGGCACAGACGGCUUCUACAUGGGACAGAGCCGCAUGAACGUCACCAAGCAGAGCUGGGAGAAGGGGGACGUCUACACCUGCCAAGUGACCCACCCAGCAGUGGGAGCAGAGCUCUCCAUGCACAACACCAGCAAGUGUUUGGCCUGCCUCAGAAGCUCACUUGACCCAACCAUCUACUUAACCAAACCCUCCUAUGAAGACAUCAUCAUAAAUUCUGGUCAUGUUACCUGUCUAGUUCUGGGCUUUGACUUAGCAGCCAGCAGAAUUGCAGGAAAGUGGAUGGGCAAGUCAGCUCUGCGGUGAAGACAGAACCCCCCAAGAAGAACAGCAAAGGGACCACCAGCCUGGUCAGUUCUCACCCUGUGUCGCUGGCACAAUGGGGACAAGGCACCCAAUUUACCUGCGAAGUGACCACACCCUGUUCUGGAGAACUAACCGAGGACAUAACCAUGAGCAAUACAGGUGUCAGCAACUGUAAUCAACACCCUCUGGAGGUGUCUCUCCUCCCCCCUUCCCUGAAGGACCUCUACAUAGCGCAGAACGCCACCAUCAGUUGUUUGGUGAGCGGCAUGUAUAUCCCAGCAGCCUGGAGGUCUCCUGGAACCGGGGUAGCGGGGGCCCGUUGGCCGUGGUCUCCAGGGAUCCGGUGCUGCAGGAAGAUGGCACCUACAGUGCAACCAGCAUCCUGCCGGUGUGCAUGGAGGAGUGGCAGGCAGGGGAGGAGUUCACCUGCACCGUGAAGCACCAAGACUUCCCGUCGGCCAUUGUCAAGACCAUCCGCAAGAGUCACAUGGUCUCCCUCCGGGCCCCUUCUGUCUACAUCUCCCCUCCUCACACUGAGGAACUGGCUCUCCAGGAAUCAGCCACCAUCACCUGCCUGGCCUCCGGGUUCCGGCCCAGAGACAUCUUGGUGACAUGGACCCAGCAGGAUCGGCCCGUGCCCCAGGAAGCCUACACCAACGUCGGCCCCGUGUGGGAGGCUGGGAAGGAGGAGCGCUACUUCAUCUACAGCAAGCUCAAUGUCUUGGUGUCCGAAUGGGAAUGGGGGGACACCUACGCCUGCAUGGUGGGGCACGAGGGUCUGCCCAUGACCUUCAUCCACUGGAGCAUGGACAAAGCCUCUGCUCCUCACUGCCCAGUGGAGGACCAAGGCAUCGAUGCUGAAGGAGGAGAGGAGGAAUCUGACGGUCUCUGGACAUCUGUUGCCUUCAUUGCUCUCUUCCUGCUCAGCCUGUUGUACAGCGCCGGCGUCACGCUGCUUAAGGUGCAGGGAGUGCCCGGCUCCAGGCUCCUAGGAGGUGGACAGCAUUGCUUCAUCCUCUUCCUUCCCUCCCUCCAUCGUCAGCCCUCCCGGGCUCCUGCCCCUUCUCUGGACACCUGGAGGGACCAUGUUCCACGGCAGCUCAGAGAGAGUGACAACGGCUGCUGA